AUGAGUUUCUACAGCCUCCAUGAAUCUCUCCAUAAGGAGAUCGCCACAAUUCAGUCCCGAUUCUACUGGGCUGGCGAGCAUGGCAAGCAGAAGUAUCACAUGGUCAGCUGGCCUGACAUCUGCAAGCCCAGGGAGCAGGGUGGCUUGGGUAUCAUGUGCUCUAAACGGAUGAAUAUUGCCCUUCUAUCUCGGUGGCUGUGGCGCAUCGCGCAGGGUCAUGGUGGCCUCUGGCUGGACAUUAUC
RNAcentral lists this ribosomal RNA (243 nucleotides) under Triticum aestivum (bread wheat). RNAcentral describes it as "partial small subunit ribosomal RNA". Lineage: Eukaryota; Viridiplantae; Streptophyta; Magnoliopsida; Poales; Poaceae. The record is from RNAcentral.